RNAcentral lists this ribosomal RNA (235 nucleotides) under uncultured bacterium. Its description in RNAcentral is "partial 16S ribosomal RNA". It matches the Rfam family "Bacterial small subunit ribosomal RNA", at positions 542 to 776 of the family's 1533-position model. The record is from RNAcentral.
UGUUCGGAUUUACUGGGCGUAAAGCGCGCGUAGGCGGACCGCUAAGUCAGGGGUGAAAUCCCAGGGCUCAACCCUGGAACUGCCUUUGAUACUGACGAUCUGGAGAUCGGGAGAGGUUGGUGGAAUUCCGAGUGUAGAGGUGAAAUUCGUAGAUAUUCGGAGGAACACCAGAAGCGAAGGCGGCCAACUGGCCCGAUACUGACGCUGAGGCGCGAAAGCGUGGGGAGCAAACAGG